Molecule: long non-coding RNA, 375 nt
Filed under: Brassica napus (rape)
Lineage: Eukaryota; Viridiplantae; Streptophyta; Magnoliopsida; Brassicales; Brassicaceae
Description: long non-coding RNA (BNAP_LNC020415)
Source: RNAcentral
CCAAGACGACGAUGCCAGAUCUCAGCAGGUGGAUUCGCCAAGCCUUGAAUCGCAGCCACGGCCUCCAUUCCUCUAAAAAAGUACAGCCCAUUCAGUUGUUUACCCGCUCCAAUCAGCAUCGACAUGAUGCGAUCCUGAACAAGGCAAAGUUUGUCAGUAAUCUGAAAUAGAUAUUCACUGUCUCAAGUAAGCUGAGAGACUAAUAUAAGGUGACAAUGAAGACCAUCAACACAGUAAACAUUUUUCAAACACACAGAAGAACCCUUCUCAGCUUCCAAUUUUAAAAACUUUCACUUACUAAAAGAAUUACAAUAUAUGCCACUGAUAAUAGUAUAACAUAGUUUGUUAAAAAAAAGGGUUGAACCUAAACCCCUC